CGGGUAAGUUCCGACCUGCACGAAUGGCGUAAUGAUGGCCAGGCUGUCUCCACCCGAGACUCAGUGAAAUUGAACUCGCUGUGAAGAUGCAGUGUACCCGCGGCAAGACGGAAAGACCCCGUGAACCUUUACUAUAGCUUGACACUGAACAUUGAGCCUUGAUGUGUAGGAUAGGUGGGAGGCUUUGAAGCGUGGACGCCAGUCUGCGUGGAGCCGACCUUGAAAUACCACCCUUUAAUGUUUGAUGUUCUAACGUGGACCCGUGAUCCGGGUUGCGGACAGUGUCUGGUGGGUAGUUUGACUGGGGCGGUCUCCUCCUAAAGAGUAACGGAGGAGCACGAAGGUUGGCUAAUCCUGGUCGGACAUCAGGAGGUUAGUGCAAUGGCAUAAGCCAGCUUGACUGCGAGCGUGACGGCGCGAGCAGGUGCGAAAGCAGGUCAUAGUGAUCCGGUGGUUCUGAAUGGAAGGGCCAUCGCUCAACGGAUAAAAGGUACUCCGGGGAUAACAGGCUGAUACCGCCCAAGAGUUCAUAUCGACGGCGGUGUUUGGCACCUCGAUGUCGGCUCAUCACAUCCUGGGGCUGAAGUAGGUCCCAAGGGUAUGGCUGUUCGCCAUUUAAAGUGGUACGCGAGCUGGGUUUAGAACGUCGUGAGACAGUUCGGUCCCUAUCUGCCGUGGGCGCUGGAGAACUGAGGGGGGCUGCUCCUAGUACGAGAGGACCGGAGUGGACGCAUCACUGGUGUUCGGGUUGUCAUGCCAAUGGCACUGCCCGGUAGCUAAAUGCGGAAGAGAUAAGUGCUGAAAGCAUCUAAGCACGAAACUUGCCCCGAGAUGAGUUCUCCCUGAGACUUAGAGUCUCCUGAAGGAACGUUGAAGACGACGACGUUGAUAGGCCGGGUGUGUAAGCGCAGCGAUGCGUUGAGCUAACCGGUACUAAUGAACCGUGAGGCUUAACCUUACAACGCCGAAG
Molecule: ribosomal RNA, 970 nt
Filed under: Salmonella enterica
Lineage: Bacteria; Pseudomonadati; Pseudomonadota; Gammaproteobacteria; Enterobacterales; Enterobacteriaceae
Description: partial 23S ribosomal RNA
Rfam family: Bacterial large subunit ribosomal RNA
Source: RNAcentral